GGCGCCGGUCUCCCGCAAGCAGCGGCUCAUGGCAGCCGUGGGCGAGCGGGCGGCGGGCGGCGGCGGCGGCGCGCCGCUCUCCUGCUUCAUCUGCGGCGGCGGCAUCGGGCGCGGCAAGGAGCUGAAGCUGCAGGUGAAGCAGCCGGCGGCGGCGGCGGGCGCGGGGGCCCCGGCGCAGCCCUUCUUCCCGUUCCUGCAGCAGCAGGAGCCGGCGCCCGGCGCGCGCGAGCUGUCCCCGGCCGACGGCUGCGUGCUGGUGUGCGCCGUGUGCCGCUGCUUCCUGGGCGAGCAGUGGGCCGCCUUCGAGCGCGCCCGCACGCCCGUGGACAAGCGCAUGUACUGGCUCAAGCGGCCCCACCAGUGCGACGCGGGCGCGGGCGGGCGCCGCGGGGGCGCCGGGGCCCCCCGCGAGUGGAACGUCGCCUACGCGCUGGGCGGCGCGGCCGACGACGACGAAGACGGCGGCGGCGGCCCCGGGCCCCGCGCGGCCCCCGAGGAGCCUCGAGAUUCCGAGCUGUCGGAGCUGUCGGACACAGACCCCUUCUCCGAGCCCGACCCCGCCGCGCGCGACGCCGCCAGUCCCCGCCAGGACGGGGCGCCAGCGGCGCGGGCCGCCCCCGGGCCCGGGCCUCGCGGGGGCCGCUGCCCGGAGUGGAGGCCGGCGCCGGGACCCCCUCCGGGACUGGGCGCGGAGACCCCCACGCCGGGGGACCUGGAGGACGACGGGAUCCCCUCGAAGCUCCACGUGGACGGGGAGCCCAGGGCCGGCAUCCGGCGCCGGCGCAAGGGCGCUGGGAGGCCCUGGGCCCCAGAGGCCCGGGCCAGCGUCCUGAGGGGCCUUCCGGACCCUUGGCAAAGGCCUCCGGUCCAAGGCGCCCCUGCAGAGGGCGUGAAAGGAGCCCCUCUGGGCAGGGCCGCCAAGACUGCCGAGAGCAAACCGCUGGCGGAGACGCGCGCUUCUGAGGACAGUGACGUCAACAUCACCAGCGAGGAGGAGGACCGCAAGGAGCAGCCUCUCCCAGGCCCCUGCUGCCCCAGAGACCAGGACGCCGCUGGCGGGGGCCGUGCCCCCCGGGCUCCCCUGGAGAGCCGGGCUGCACCACCAGAGGGCCUUUGCUGCUACAUCUGUGGGUGUGCGCUGUCCCCGGCCUCGCAGCACCAGAUCCACGUGCAGAAGCAGGAGAAGCUGGCCCAGGCGCCCUUCUUCCCCUUCCUGUGGCUGCACAGCCCGCCCCCGGGGGCGCAGCCCAUCAGCGAGGGUGGCAGCACCCUGGUGUGCCCCUGCUGCUUCUCCUCCCUCAUGCAGCAGUGGCAAAGCUUCGAACUGGCCAACGUGCCGGUCCUGCAGCGGCUCUACGUGGUGCCCCUGAACAGCCACGCUCCCGGCAUGGCCUCCAAGGGCAGGAGGCUCCCCAGGGAAGAGGGCCCGCCUGCCGGGGCCCUGCCAGAGGCCUGCUACCUCUGCGGGGAGGACUGUACGCGGGAUGCCCGGGCCGUGGCCUGCAGGACCCUCAACGGCAACGCCAGGGGCUCCAUGCAUUUCCCGUUUCUCAGCCUCCUGCCCUGCCCGCCCAACGCCCAGGGCCCCAACAAGCGCUGUGAGGUCCGCAGCUGCCCCAAGUGCUUCAGCGUCCUGGAGGACGUGUGGGCCCUGUACCGGGCCUGCCAGAACGAGGAGCUCAUCACCUCUGUGCAGGGCUUCUUGGGCCGGUACCACCAGGCCUUCUCAGCCUCGGACCCUGCGCUCUGCGAGCCGCCCGCCUCGGCCCAGGGUGGCCCGGCCUCCGUCUGCUACAUCUGCGGGGCCGAGCUGGGCCCCGGCAAGGAGUUCCAGCUCAACGUGAACCCCUCCAGCCGCCUGGGCGAGAAGGAGCCCUUCUUCCCCUUCCUCACUGUCUACCCGCCGGCCCCGCGCGCCAGGCCUGCCGACUCCACCGGCCUGGUGGCCACCUGCGUGCUCUGUUACCAUGACCUGCUGGGCCAGUGGCUGCAGCACGAGGCCCGCAGCGCCCCCCACGCCAUCAGCCCCUGGUCACGGCAGUACCAAGUGGAGAUAUUCGUGUGCUUCUUCUGCCAGCAGGAGAAGAAGCGGUGUCUCGGGCUCAAGGCCGUGCGGGUGGCCCGGCUGCCCUUGUUUCUGUACACCCUUCGAGCGAGCCACAGCCUGCUCGUGGACGAUGGGCGACAGCUGAUCAUCGGCGCCUGCACGGAGUGCGGGACCCUGGUGUGUGCUGGCCAAGGGCUCACCCGCCAGGGACCCACGGGCUGGAGCUCCCCAGGGGCGGCGGCGAGGAAGGUCACCUCUGCUUCUCUCGAGGCAUCGACGGCUGUCCACCCUCCCAGCCGGGAGCCAGGACCUCGGCCGGGCGCACCAGCAGAGAGCCUGACCAGGGGCUCCAGGACUGCCCCAGAGCAGGGGCCAGCCCGCGGUCAGCAGAGCAGCCUGGACACGGCCGGAGCAGACCUUGUGGGCACAGGCAUGAGCCAUGAGCCCAAGUCCCCUUCACUAGGGAUGCUUUCCACCGCGACCAGGACCACCGCCACCGUCAACCCCCUCACCCCCUCGCCGCUCAAUGGCGCCCUGGUGCCCAGUGGCAGCCCCGCCACCAGCAGCGCGCUGUCGGCCCAGGCCGCGCCGUCCUCCAGCUUUGCCGCCGCGCUGCGCAAGCUCGCCAAACAGGCGGAGGAGCCCAGAGGGUCUUCACUGAGCAGCGAGUCGUCCCCCGUGUCCUCUCCGGCCACCAACCACAGCUCCCCGGCCAGCACGCCCAAGCGCGUGCCCAUGGGCCCCAUCAUCGUCCCCCCCGGGGGCCACAGCGUCCCCAGCACGCCCCCCGUGGUGACCAUCGCCCCCACCAAGACGGUCAAUGGCGUCUGGAGGAGCGAGAGCCGCCAGCAGGACGCUGGCUCUCGGGGCAGCAGCAGCGGCCGGGAACGCCUCAUUGUGGAGCCCCCGCUGCCCCAGGAGAAGGCGGGGGGCCCGGCCAUCCCCUCGCACCUGCUCAGCACCCCCUACCCCUUCGGCAUCUCCCCCAGCUCGGUGGUACAGGACUCCCGCUUCCCACCGCUCAACCUCCAGCGGCCCGUGCACCAUGUGGUGCCCCCCAGCUCGGUGACCGAGGACUACCUGAGGAGCUUCCGGCCCUACCACACCACCGAGGACCUCCGCGUGUCCUCCCUGCCUCCCCUGGGCCUGGACCCGGCCACCGCCGCUGCCUACUACCACCCCAGCUACCUGGCCCCGCACCCCUUCCCUCACCCAGCCUUCAGGAUGGACGACUCCUACUGCCUGUCGGCCCUGCGGUCCCCCUUCUACCCCAUCCCUGCCCCCGGCUCCCUGCCCCCGCUGCACCCGUCAGCUGUGCACCUCCACCUCUCCGGGGUCCGCUACCCGCCUGAGCUCCCGCACUCGUCCCUGGCCGCGCUGCACUCGGAGCGGAUGUCCAGCCUCAGCGCCGAGAGGCUGCAGAUGGACGAGGAGCUGAGGCGGGAGAGGGAGCGCGAGCGAGAGCGGGAAGCCGACCGCGAGCGGGAGAAGGAGCGCGAACGGGAGCGGGAGAAGGAGCGCGAGCGCGAGAAGGAGCUGGAGCGCGAGCGCGAGAAGGAGCGGGAGCUGGAGCGCCAGCGGGAGCAGCAGCGCGCCCGCGAGAAGGAGCUGCUGGCCGCCAAGGCGCUGGAGCCGGCCUUCCUGCCGGUGGCCGAGCUGCACGGGCUGCGGAGCCACGCCACCGAGGAUCGCGGCAAGCCCUCCGAGCAGCUGACCCCGACCCGAGCAGAGAAGCUGAAGGAUGCGGGCCUGCAGGCGCCCAAGGCCGUGCAGCACCCCCUGCACCCGGCGCCCACUCCCCACCACCCGGUGCCCAGCCUCCUCUCCAACCAUGGCCUCUUCUCGCUCCCGGGCAGCAGCGCCGCCACGGCCCUGCUCAUCCAGCGCACCAACGAGGAGGAGAAGUGGCUGGCGCGGCAGCGGCGGCUGCGGCAGGAGAAGGAGGACCGGCAGUCGCAGGUGUCCGAGUUCCGGCAGCAGGUGCUGGAGCAGCACCUGGACAUGGGCCGGCCCCCGGCGCCUGCAGAGACGGAGCACAGGCCUGAGAGCGCCAGGCCGGGACCAAACCGACACGAGCCGGGCAGCCGAGACCCCCCGCAGCACUUCGGGGGGCCCCCGCCCCUCAUCUCGCCCAAGCCGCAGCACCACUCCGUGCCCACGGCCCUCUGGAACCCGGUGUCCCUGAUGGACAGCGCGCUGGAGACGCGGCGGGCCCCCGAGAGCCACGCCCUGCACAGCCACCCGGCGCCGUUCGAGCCCAGCCGCCCGGCGGCCGUCCCGCUGGUGAAGGUGGAGAGGGUCUACGGCCCGGAGAAGGCGGAGGAGGGGCCCCGCAAGCGCGAGGCCACCCCCCUGGACAAGUACCAGCCGCCGGCCCGGGAGGCGGGCAGCCUGGAGCCGCAGGCCUUCCCGCACGGGCCCGGGCCCUUCCUGGCCGAGCUCGAGCAGUCCGCCCAGACGGUCCUGGGCCAGCCGCGGGCCUCGCUCGCCCAGCCAGUGCCCUUUGGGGAGCUCGCCGGGCCCCUGAAGCCCGGCUCGCCCUACCGGCCCCCCGCGCCGCGGGGCCCCGACCCCGCCUACAUCUACGACGAGUUCCUGCAGCAGCGCCGGAGGCUGGUCAGCAAGCUGGACCUGGAGGAGCGCAGGCGGCGGGAGGCGCAGGAGAAAGGGUACUACUACGACCUGGACGACUCCUACGACGAGAGCGACGAGGAGGAGGUCAGGGCGCACCUGCGCUGCGUAGCCCAGCAGCCGCCCCUCAAGCUGGACACGUCCUCCGAGAAGCUAGAGUUUUUGCAACUUUUUGGCUUGACCACCCAACAGCAGAAGGAGGAGUUGCUGACCCAGAAGCGGAGGAAGCGGCGGCGGAUGCUGAGGGAGAGAAGCCCGUCGCCCCCGACGGUUCAGAGCAAGCGGCAGACGCCUUCGCCGAGACUGGCGCUGUCCACCCGCUACAGCCCCGACGAGAUGAACAGCAGCCCCAACUUCGAGGAGAAGAAGAAGUUUCUGACCAUCUUCAGCCUGGCCCACGUCAGCGCCGAGAAGAGGAAAGACGAGGAGAAGCUUGUUGAGCUGCUCCAUGCCAUGAAGCAGAAGGCACUGUCAGCCAGGGCAGACCCGCUCAGGAGCUCUCCGAGGGACAGUCCCGCUGUCUCCCUGAGCGAACCAGCCACGCAGCCCGCCUCUCUGGAUACGGAGAAGCCUGUGGGCAUCGCCGCCUCCCUGCCUGACGUGCCGAAGGCACCGGAGCCCGCGAGACUGGAGCCGCUCCGGCCCCAGGAGCGAGGGCAGGAGCCGGCGCCCACCGGCGGCGAGAAGGCCAGGCUGAGCGAGACCCCCGGCGGCAGGAAGAGCCUGAGCAUGCUUCACUACAUCCGGGGCCCCGCGCCCAAGGACGUCCCCGUGCCGCUGUCGCACAGCGUCAACGGCAAGAGCAAGCCGUGGGAGCCCUUCGUGGCGGAGGAGUUUGCACAUCAGUUCCACGAGUCCGUCCUGCAGUCCACGCAGAAGGCCCUGCAGAAGCAUAAAGGCGGUGCAGCGGUGCUGUCUGCAGAGCAGAACCACAAGGUCGACGCCUCCGUCCACUACAACAUUCCCGAGCUGCAGUCCUCCAGCAGGCUGCCUCUGCCCCAGCACAAUGGGCAGCAGGAGCCCCCCGCUGGCAGGAAGGGCCCCCUGGCGCAGGAGAUGGACCCAGACUCCGAGGAGGAGGAGGAGGACGGGGAGGAGGAGGAGGAGGAGCCCCCCCGGCGCAAGUGGCAUGGGAUUGAGGCAAUUUUUGAAGCUUACCAGGAACACGUGGAAGGUAGGCAGGGGAGGGGAAGCGGGCCGGGCGCCCACCACCAAAGGGAGAGGAAGCUUCGUCGUGCCAGAGUGCACUGCCAGCGUCGGGACUGUCUCUAAGGGAUGGCACGAGGCACUGCCCAUGUCAGGGAGGGCAGGCUCCUGUUACACGGGUCCUAGAAUGUACAAAUCUGGUCCACUUCGCAGAGCCUCCCUUAGCCGGGCCUGGUCGCCUCCUGAGCCCUCAUGACGUGUGAAGAGUCUCAGGGUUAUGGCACUUCCCCCAAGGGCACCUGUGUGCAGGGAGGAGAGCCCUUGUCUGCCACCAGAGAGCCACCUCCUCAGCUGGGAGCGCUCGCUCCGCCCAGCCUGAGGAGGCCCCGCUGGAGGGGGGCCGAGACCCGCCUUGCCCACAUGGCCUCUGCUUGGGGUGAAAGGCUCUGUUCCCACCUUUCUCUGCGCCUUGUUCCUUCCUGGCGCUGCCUGCAGAGGCGUCUGUUAUAGACACAGGCUGCGGCCCAUGCGCUGGCUGCAGGAGCAGACAGGCCCCCCUGCCCUCCCUUCCCUAGCAGAACGGGCAGGGGGGCCGGUUUGGAGCUGAGCACUGACCGGGUGCUCGGAGGCCUGGCUCUCAGCCCCGCUGUGGUCCUGCUGCUCCGCCACCCUCACCCUGUAGGCAGCUCAGGGCGUUGGGUUGAUGGGAGGUGGUGGACGUGCCAGCCACAGCUGGAAAAGCCAGGCUCCUGCCGCCUCCCAGCUCUCUGUCUUCCCUGUCAUGAGGAGCUGGGAUUUUUAGCAUGUCGGUGUUGCAAAGACUACUUGCAAACAAAAGCAGUGCAGACCUCACCUCCACCGCCUGAGUUAUCAACUCUGCUUCCUCUUCUCCUCCAAAUGGAGUUCUCAUUUCGAAUCUCUCGUUCUGGAAGUGUGUAUACACGCAUCAGAAGGAUAUUUAGCAGUAUUUUUAUUGUGGGGGGCAGGUGUUACCAUCUUCUCAGGCUGAGGUUUUGGGUGUUUUUGGGGGGAGUUCCUUCCCUGCUCUCAAGGACAUGAUGUUAUAAUUGUUACCUUCGGAGUUCUGCUUUUCUUGUGCCUCGAAGUUCGUUCUGUGGCUGCAGUCUGUGGUAGAAAUCCAGCGCCCUCUUUCCCCCCCACCCCAGCAACCUGUCGUCCCGCUGUUGUACGGGUGCCCCCGUCCCCGGUGUGCCCGCUGUCCUGGAUCGUGCGAGAGCAUAGCAGCGCCCCAGGGUCUAGAGCAGCGCACCCGGACUUCUUUGCGGACAGCUCCGAUCUUGGCCCUUGGCUCUCCCUGCUGAAUUUUCGGAUCGCCGCCUUUGUUCCACCCACAAGACUCGCGAGUUCGGUUUUCAGCUGCAUGGAGUUUACAGACGCAGGGAGGAUGGACGUACUGGAUAGUGCUGCCAUUCCCCCGGUGAACAUGGCCUUCAACUGUCCCAUUUUUGCUCCAAGAGCAGUUUACUUCCAUCAUAGUGGAUUUAGUUGUGGGUAUCACUUAGUUAUUGCGGAUUUUUUUAGUUUUUGUCACCCCUUAUUCCCUAGAUAAUCAUAGAUGAUCAGACCUAUGCUUCGUUCUUUCCUUUUGCAUUUGUAUGCGUUUCCUUUUUCUUGAGUCACACUGCAUUGCCUACCACCUCAGGCUCAAAUAGGGGCGCCCCUUGGUGAAACUUGAGAAGCGCUCCAAGGAUAAGCCCUCACCUUUCCUGCUGCGGGGAUGGUGCGUGUGGCUGUGGAAAUGGACGAGCGUGUCCUCUAGGCCUGUGGAGGUGACAGCCUCCCGUUUUUCACCUUUCGGUGUUCCCCUUCCGUGCUGAACCUGUUGGUGCUUCUGAGACUUUUUUCCCUCUGUGUCCUCAGCCGGUAUUGCUCUUUCGUUUUGCUCUGAGGAUUGUUGGGGUGUCUGGAACAUCCCUCAGGUAGCCUUUGCUGGUUUCCAUUCUCUGAAACACUUCAUGUAAAGCAGGGAUUUAUUCUUGAAGGUUUGAAGUAACUCUCGUUGAAACCAGGCUGUCUUUUGGAAAGGCAGAGAUUUCGUUUUACUAAUUAAAACUAUACUUUAUACAUUUCUAACAGCUUAAAAGCUUUCAAGCCCCUAACCCCUUAUCUUUUUUAUCUUUCUUUUUGAAAAAUGCAGUUCAAGGCUGUAAAUUCACUCUUAAUUACUUCCUCAUCGCUAUCCUUGAAAUUGCCUUUUGAGGCUGGCGCCCUGGUCUUUCUUCCACUGGCUUGAAUUUGCUUUAGCCACACUUAGCCAUUUGCUAGCACGACAGAAAAGGCCGGGCGCCCUGGGGUCCAACGGAGAGGACCUUGCUGGCUGCACAAGCCCAAGGGGGACCCUCACCAGCCCUAUGGCCCCUGCAUGCUGGAAACGUGUCAACGUCACUUGUCUUUCCAGAGCAAAACCUGGAGCGGCAGGUGUUACAGACGCAGUGCCGGCGGCUGGAGGCCCAGCACUACAGCCUCAGCCUCGCGGCUGAGCAGCUUUCCCACAGCAUGGCGGAGCUGAGGAGCCAGAAACAGAAGAUUGUUUCAGAAAGGGAGCGCCUCCAGGCCGAACUGGAUCACUUACGGAAGUGCCUUGCGUUGCCGGCCAUGCACUGGCCCCGGGGUUACUUGAAGGGGUACCCCAGGUGACGCUCCGUCGCACGAGGCCGAACCUAGAGUAGAGAAAUAGUAUCUAUUUUAUUACCUUGAAUAUUUAAUAUUUUUCACUGGGAGGUUUGAAGCUUAAAACAAUGAGAAUGUGCCAUGCAUGAAGCAAAGGAUUCCAGGCCCCAGAAAAAGAACGGACUCGCCUCGGCUUCCAAUGCCAUUCAGUCGUCUUGGUCAUCAGCCAGCAGCCACGUAGACGCCCCUAGUUUUUCUUUCUGGAGGUGGUUUUAGUCUUUCCCCACGUCAUCGUUGUUCAGCUGAAAGCGGACGCUCCGUCACCAACACUAACACGUGGUCCUCUCUCGCCCCUGGGGUUGUGUGUUCCGGAGUCUGGAGCAGGAGCGGCCGCUCGGCUCCCGCUGCGGUGGGCGCGGGUCUCGGUCCUCGGGGCCGGAGGGAGGCCUGCUCCAGCUCCCGGAAGGUGGGGUGCGUUUUAAGUUAAAGGGCUUAUUUGUUUCAGUUACUUUUCCGGAAAAUUCCCUUCCAAGCACCAGGUCCUAGGAGCACACAAAGCAGCCGUACUGAAGCCUCAGCCCAAGGCUUUUCCCCGGAAAAGCUCUCACCUAGAGAGAAAGCCCAUCAGCCAACGGAAGGUACCUUUUUGUCACUCCACGGGCACACGCGCAGAGCUCUGUGCGUGCGUUGAGUCACAGCCACGGAUCGUUCCUGCCGUGGGGGGUGUUUUCAUACAAACGUCAAUUUUGAGAGAAUAGUCAAAGGUGCUUCAGCCUUGUACUGUGUAUAUAUAUUAAAAAACAAAGUUUUGUAUGUUUUUAUUACUUUAAUUAUUGUUAUAAAAAGCCUGCCAUUUUUAAUAUGUGGUUUGGGGGGAUUUUUGUUGUUUUCCUGUUUGGGGGUUUUGUUUGUUUUUUGUUUUGUUUUUCUGGGCAAAAAAGAAAAAAAAAACCCUUGCUUUUAGUGUUUGUACUGCUGCUGGUCAGGACAUUAAAAUACUGAAGUGUUUUUAAAAAUUAAAAAAGAAGAAAAGUAAAAGAGCUUACCACUGGCGCCUAUGCGGUCGCUUCAUUUCCGAGUUGCCACCAGAAAGUGCCGUGGAGCCGCCACGCUGCCGCUUCCCUCCUGCUGGCCCCUCCUGGCUCCGGAUGGCCGAGAGCCCCUGGGGCCCGUUGCUGUCCAGCGAGGAGGGGCGGCUCGAGGCCCUCUGCGUGCCGUCACGCGCGCCCAGCACAGCACCCAGCCCCGGGCUUUGCUCAGAGGCCCUUUCAGGAAGUGAGCGGUUUCUGUGCUAGGUUCUAGGGUGUCUCACAGCAGUCGGAGAGCAGGUGCAGAGUAGAAACGUUAGCGGCUUUUUUAGAGGCAGAGCUUUGUAACAGCCUCAAAGUGGGGUGAACAAUGAGCAGAACGUCUCCCCCUCUUGCACCUGCCGUGACAGGCACAGGAGCAGCUGGACAGGGAUGACCCGUGUGAAGCCUGGGGCGGGGAGAGGCGGGGGCUUCCCUCUGAGCCCACUUAUUGCUUGUUCAGGCAGGGUUUGAGCUCAAUCAAGAAGGCAUCUCUUGCCUGAAGGGCCUGAACCAGAGACCAGAGCAGCCAGGGGUCAGUCAGCCUUGGGGGCGAGGGGAGGAAGCUGGAGCCUUGCACUGCGGGCGCCCCCUGCCCUGGGCUGGGGCCAGGGCUGGCGGACUGUCAGGAAGGCCACUCACAGUGAGCAGGGCCGUGCCCUCAGCCCCAGACCGCACCCGCGCACGACAGCUUGCUGGCAGAUGGCGCUGCGUCGCUUUCUCUGUUCCCACACAGUUUGCAUUGUCUGCCUGCCAGGAACCUUCCAGUUAUUAGCAAACGCAGACAGAAAGUGCCGCCAGUAUUAUCAGCAGUCUACCAGCGCCUUCCCCGCUGCAGAAACGACAGAACUAAGGGCUGUUCUGGGGCCGCCUCCCCUGCACAGACGCAGAGAGCACCACGUGCCACAGGUGGGGACAGGUGUUCAGAGGGCGCCCUGCUGCCAACGAUCACAGGAAGGCAUCGCUGCUUUCCUCUGCGUAGAGCCUGCUUGCUGUCUCCAGUCUGAAGGCUGCGCAGUCCCAUCCUGGGCCCCGUCCUCCCCUCCAGCCAGAAGGCCUUUGGGUGCCUUGGCGCCCCAGCUCGGGGGUGGUCCUGGCCCAAGGCAGAGGGAGGAGAUCCGCUAACUUGAUGGGGAAGCAGAGCACAGAGCUCACCUUGAGGGAGCUCCCUCGGCUGGCUUUCCUGUUAGGGGAGGAGUGGGGGGUACAGGGGUUCAAGAGGUGCCUUCUCCAGGCGGAGGCUGUGGCACUGAGCUGAUGCUAACUGCCCUCCCCGCCUCCCAGCUGCUCCUGACCCUGCCUCCCUGCCCGCCACCUCGCUGUGGCGGCCUCCGAAUAGUCUCGGGCUCAAGAAGUAAUAUGACAAUCAAAACCUAGAUAGAAACCCUGGGACAGAUGAGGAGACCAAGAGGCAAGAGCGUGUCUCUGGAACACAGAAGCACCCACGCGACACGGGGCCCAGCCGCGCUCCUAGCACUUCCUAGUCUUAGGAUCUGAAGGCACUGGCUCGGAAGGAGCAGGGCCGCGGCGGAGGUGGGGCUUCAAGUCGGACGCGUGCGGAAUCCUGCAGGCUCCCUGUCGGGCUGUGUGCGAGUCUGAGAGGUCAGAAGGGCGCCUCUUUGUCUCGAGUUGGACGGGGGAGCUCGUGUGUCAGUCUCUCCACGAAGACGGUCCUCCCUGGCCUCGAGUCUUCCCACAGCGCCUGGAAGACGGCGGCCACCUGCCCCCCGAAGGGACGUCUUCCAAAGCCGGGUCAUGGGACUCUGCCUUUCCCCAGACCUGCCACCGCACAGCCCGGCCCUCGGGAGAUGAGGUCUUGUUUCAUAGAAUCAGAACCACACAGACGUACGUGACCAAGGUAGAAUUCGCCACCCUUUAGCCUGUAUCCCAAAGGCAACGGGACACUUAAUUGGCACUGGCAUUCUAACUGAUGAUACCCUCAGGGAGAUGCAGAGAAUAUGAAAAGGAGCCACACCUAUGGCAAAGCAGCAAAACAAUCAUCACAGGAAAUCUUCAGUUUCAUCAGGUAGCUCACAGGGCUGCCAACUCUCCCAAGUCAAAUUGGGUUCCCCGUCCCUCCCAGCCACCCUGUCGAGGGCAGACAGUUCCCGGACCCGCCACCAGGUAGAGCGGGUCCACACAGCCGACUCGGUCCCCCGAGUGUUUCUUGGCCACCGAGCAGCACUCCCUGUGCUGCGUCCAAUAACCAAGCGAUGACUUUGUCCGCCCUUGCAGUAGCCUGUCCCCAGCUUUCUGACCCAGCGCUUGGCUCAGACUCCUGACCUCUGCCCUGACCCAAGGACGACCGUGCUCACCGUGGGUCACCCUCGCCCUGCCUGCCGCUAGAACACCCAGCACGCGGGAGGAGGGAGGAACAGAGCCUGGGUCACUCUGGGGCAGUUUAGAUGCUGUGAAGUUAAGCCUGUUGGAAGUGUACUUGUUGGAGCUCGUUGUGCUGUAACAUUGUUUGUUGACUGUAGUGUUAGGUAGGUAUGAACGUAUGGCUGUAAUUUCUGACAACAUCCGAAAAUAAAAUCUUCCUAAAUCA
Molecule: non-coding RNA, 12070 nt
Organism: Sus scrofa (pig)
Lineage: Eukaryota; Metazoa; Chordata; Mammalia; Artiodactyla; Suidae
Source: RefSeq, a predicted model, not a curated record